UCCCUGGUGGUUCAAUGGCUAAGAUUCUAUGCUACCAAUGCAGGGGACUCAGGUUCAAUCCCUGGUCAGGGAA
RNAcentral lists this transfer RNA (73 nucleotides) under Ovis aries (sheep). It matches the Rfam family "tRNA". From Rfam's summary of the family: Transfer RNA (tRNA) molecules are approximately 80 nucleotides in length. Lineage: Eukaryota; Metazoa; Chordata; Mammalia; Artiodactyla; Bovidae. The record is from Rfam by way of RNAcentral.